GAUGAACGCUGGCGGCGUGCUUAACACAUGCAAGUCGAACGGAAAGGCUCCUGCUUGCAGGGAUACUCGAGUGGCGAACGGGUGAGUAACACGUGGGUGAUCUGCCCUGCACUUCGGGAUAAGCCUGGGAAACUGGGUCUAAUACCGGAUAGGACGAUGGUUUGGAUGCCAUUGUGGAAAGUUUUUCGGUGUGGGAUGAGCUCGCGGCCUAUCAGCUUGUUGGUGGGGUAAUGGCCUACCAAGGCGUCGACGGGUAGCCGGCCUGUGAGGGUGUACGGCCACAUUGGGACUGAGAUACGGCCCAGACUCCUACGGGAGGCAGCAGUGGGGAAUAUUGCACAAUGGGCGCAAGCCUGAUGCAGCGACGCCGCGUGGGGGAUGACGGCCUUCGGGUUGUAAACUCCUUUCGCUAGGGACGAAGCGCAAGUGACGGUACCUGGAGAAGAAGCACCGGCUAACUACGUG
Molecule: ribosomal RNA, 465 nt
Filed under: uncultured bacterium
Lineage: Bacteria
Description: partial 16S ribosomal RNA
Rfam family: Bacterial small subunit ribosomal RNA
Source: RNAcentral